CAGACUAACACGACAACCCCUCUGAUACAUCUCUGUUCCAGACUCAGCAGCAGAAAGUGAAUCUGGUGAGCGAGGCCCGGAUUGAAUAUGAGGAGAAGAAAUACAACCAGAAGGAGGGAUUCGUCCAGCGCCAGGUGCAGACGGUGGUGGAGCACUCCGAGGUCUAUAACUACCUGCCCAUCAUUGUGGGCAGCAGCGUGGGGGGCCUGGUCCUGCUGGCUCUCAUCACCGCAGCCCUCUACAAGUUCGGCUUCUUCAAGCGCGAGUACAAGCAGAGGAUGGAGGGUGAUGGGGCUGAGCCGGCCCAGAGUGAUGCGUCCCCUCCCCCCGAUGCCCCCAAACAAUAGACCCACCCACAUCCCCUCCCCAUGGGCUGCUCCAGAUCCACACACCAACCUGACAAUCUGAACUUGGAACAUCCCUUCAGAGCAUCCAUGGGGGGGCUGAGACCAGGAUUCCUGGGUUCUAUCCCCAGUGGUGGGAGAGGAGUGGGUCU
Chelonoidis abingdonii (Abingdon island giant tortoise) is the source of this 496-nucleotide non-coding RNA. NCBI's taxonomy places the organism in Eukaryota, Metazoa, Chordata, Testudines, Testudinidae. The record is from RefSeq and is a predicted model, not a curated record.